RNAcentral lists this ribosomal RNA (266 nucleotides) under uncultured bacterium. RNAcentral's name for it is "partial 16S ribosomal RNA". It matches the Rfam family "Bacterial small subunit ribosomal RNA", at positions 92 to 354 of the family's 1533-position model. The record is from RNAcentral.
CGACCGGCGCACGGGUGAGUAACGCGUAUGCAACCUGCCCGUUUCAGCGGGAUAACCCGGAGAAAUCCGGCCUAAUACCGCAUGUGGCCGAGGGGAGGCAUCUUCUUUCGGCCAAAGGAGGCAACUCCGGAGACGGAUGGGCAUGCGUGACAUUAGCUUGUUGGCGGGGUAACGGCCCACCAAGGCGACGAUGUCUAGGGGUUCUGAGAGGAAGGUCCCCCACACUGGUACUGAGACACGGGCCAGACUCCUACGGAAGGCAGCAG